GGCAGACGGGUGAGUAAUGUAUAGGAAUCUACCUAGUAGUACGGAAUAAUUGUUGGAAACGACAACUAAUACCGUAUACGCCCUACGGGGGAAAAAUUUAUUGCUAUUAGAUGAGCCUAUAUUAGAUUAGCUAGUUGGUGGGGUAAUAGCCUACCAAGGUAAUGAUCUAUAGCUGAUCUGAGAGGAUGAUCAGCCACACUGGAACUGAGAUACGGUCCAGACUCCUACGGGAGGCAGCAGUGGGGAAUAUUGGACAAUGGGCGAAAGCCUGAUCCAGCCAUGCCGCAUGAGUGAAGAAGGCCUUUGGGUUGUAAAGCUCUUUUAGUGAGGAAGAUAAUGACGGUACUCACAGAAGAAGUCCUGGCUAACUCCGUGCCAGCAGCCGCGGUAAUACGGAGAGGGCUAGCGUUAUUCGGAAUUAUUGGGCGUAAAGGGCGCGUAGGCUGGUUAAUAAGUUAAAAGUGAAAUCCCGAGGCUUAACCUUGGAAUUGCUUUUAAAACUAUUAAUCUAGAGAUUGAAAGAGGAUAGGGGAAUUCCUGAUGUAGAGGUAAAAUUCGUAAAUAUUAGGAGGAACACCAGUGGCGAAGGCGUCUAUCUGGUUCAAAUCUGACGCUGAAGCGCGAAGGCGUGGGGAGCAAACAGGAUUAGAUACCCUGGUAGUCCACGCUGUAAACGAUGAAUGUUAAAUAUGGGGAGUUUACUUUCUGUAUUACAGCUAACGCGUUAAACAUUCCGCCUGGGGACUACGGUCGCAAGAUUAAAACUCAAAGGAAUUGACGGGGACCCGCACAAGCGGUGGAGCAUGUGGUUAAUUCGAUGCAACGC
Molecule: ribosomal RNA, 826 nt
Filed under: Wolbachia pipientis
Lineage: Bacteria; Pseudomonadati; Pseudomonadota; Alphaproteobacteria; Rickettsiales; Anaplasmataceae
Description: bacterial SSU rRNA
Rfam family: Bacterial small subunit ribosomal RNA
Source: RNAcentral